RNAcentral lists this ribosomal RNA (1550 nucleotides) under Klebsiella aerogenes. RNAcentral's name for it is "bacterial SSU rRNA". It matches the Rfam family "Bacterial small subunit ribosomal RNA". The record is from RNAcentral. Lineage: Bacteria; Pseudomonadati; Pseudomonadota; Gammaproteobacteria; Enterobacterales; Enterobacteriaceae.
AAAUUGAAGAGUUUGAUCAUGGCUCAGAUUGAACGCUGGCGGCAGGCCUAACACAUGCAAGUCGAGCGGUAGCACAGAGAGCUUGCUCUCGGGUGACGAGCGGCGGACGGGUGAGUAAUGUCUGGGAAACUGCCUGAUGGAGGGGGAUAACUACUGGAAACGGUAGCUAAUACCGCAUAACGUCGCAAGACCAAAGUGGGGGACCUUCGGGCCUCAUGCCAUCAGAUUUGCCCAGAUGGGAUUAGCUAGUAGGUGGGGUAAUGGCUCACCUAGGCGACGAUCCCUAGCUGGUCUGAGAGGAUGACCAGCCACACUGGAACUGAGACACGGUCCAGACUCCUACGGGAGGCAGCAGUGGGGAAUAUUGCACAAUGGGCGCAAGCCUGAUGCAGCCAUGCCGCGUGUAUGAAGAAGGCCUUCGGGUUGUAAAGUACUUUCAGCGAGGAGGAAGGCGUUAAGGUUAAUAACCUUGGCGAUUGACGUUACUCGCAGAAGAAGCACCGGCUAACUCCGUGCCAGCAGCCGCGGUAAUACGGAGGGUGCAAGCGUUAAUCGGAAUUACUGGGCGUAAAGCGCACGCAGGCGGUCUGUCAAGUCGGAUGUGAAAUCCCCGGGCUCAACCUGGGAACUGCAUUCGAAACUGGCAGGCUAGAGUCUUGUAGAGGGGGGUAGAAUUCCAGGUGUAGCGGUGAAAUGCGUAGAGAUCUGGAGGAAUACCGGUGGCGAAGGCGGCCCCCUGGACAAAGACUGACGCUCAGGUGCGAAAGCGUGGGGAGCAAACAGGAUUAGAUACCCUGGUAGUCCACGCCGUAAACGAUGUCGACUUGGAGGUUGUGCCCUUGAGGCGUGGCUUCCGGAGCUAACGCGUUAAGUCGACCGCCUGGGGAGUACGGCCGCAAGGUUAAAACUCAAAUGAAUUGACGGGGGCCCGCACAAGCGGUGGAGCAUGUGGUUUAAUUCGAUGCAACGCGAAGAACCUUACCUACUCUUGACAUCCAGAGAACUUAGCAGAGAUGCUUUGGUGCCUUCGGGAACUCUGAGACAGGUGCUGCAUGGCUGUCGUCAGCUCGUGUUGUGAAAUGUUGGGUUAAGUCCCGCAACGAGCGCAACCCUUAUCCUUUGUUGCCAGCGAUUCGGUCGGGAACUCAAAGGAGACUGCCAGUGAUAAACUGGAGGAAGGUGGGGAUGACGUCAAGUCAUCAUGGCCCUUACGAGUAGGGCUACACACGUGCUACAAUGGCAUAUACAAAGAGAAGCGACCUCGCGAGAGCAAGCGGACCUCAUAAAGUAUGUCGUAGUCCGGAUUGGAGUCUGCAACUCGACUCCAUGAAGUCGGAAUCGCUAGUAAUCGUAGAUCAGAAUGCUACGGUGAAUACGUUCCCGGGCCUUGUACACACCGCCCGUCACACCAUGGGAGUGGGUUGCAAAAGAAGUAGGUAGCUUAACCUUCGGGAGGGCGCUUACCACUUUGUGAUUCAUGACUGGGGUGAAGUCGUAACAAGGUAACCGUAGGGGAACCUGCGGUUGGAUCACCUCCUUACCUUAAAGAA